This 72-nucleotide transfer RNA is filed under the name Ictidomys tridecemlineatus (thirteen-lined ground squirrel). Its description in RNAcentral is "Spermophilus tridecemlineatus (thirteen-lined ground squirrel) tRNA". It matches the Rfam family "tRNA". From Rfam's summary of the family: Transfer RNA (tRNA) molecules are approximately 80 nucleotides in length. Their secondary structure includes four short double-helical elements and three loops (D, anti-codon, and T loops). Further hydrogen bonds mediate the characteristic L-shaped molecular structure. tRNAs have two regions of fundamental functional importance: the anti-codon, which is responsible for specific mRNA codon recognition, and the 3' end, to which the tRNAs corresponding amino acid is attached (by aminoacyl-tRNA synthetases). tRNAs cope with the degeneracy of the genetic code in two manners: having more than one tRNA (with a specific anti-codon) for a particular amino acid; and 'wobble' base-pairing, i.e. permitting non-standard base-pairing at the 3rd anti-codon position. Lineage: Eukaryota; Metazoa; Chordata; Mammalia; Rodentia; Sciuridae. The record is from Rfam by way of RNAcentral.
GGGGAUGUGGCUCCGUGGUAGAGCACUUGCCUGACAUGCCUGAGGCCCUGGGUUCGAUAUCCAGCACCACGA